Molecule: ribosomal RNA, 253 nt
Filed under: uncultured bacterium
Lineage: Bacteria
Description: partial 16S ribosomal RNA
Rfam family: Bacterial small subunit ribosomal RNA
Source: RNAcentral
UACGUAGGGGGCAAGCGUUGUCCGGAUUUAUUGGGCGUAAAGAGCGUGUAGGCGGCCUGAAAGGUCAGCUGUGAAAACUCGAGGCUCAACCUCGAGACGUCGGUUGAAACCAUCUGGCUAGAGUCCGGAAGAGGAGAGUGGAAUUCCCGGUGUAGCGGUGAAAUGCGCAGAUAUCGGGAAGAACACCCGUGGCGAAGGCGGCACUCUGGGACGGUACUGACGCUGAGACGCGAAAGCGUGGGGAGCGAACAGG